GAUGAACGCUGGCGGCGUGCUUAACACAUGCAAGUCGAACGGUGAACACGGAGCUUGCUCUGUGGGAUCAGUGGCGAACGGGUGAGUAACACGUGAGCAACCUGCCCCUGACUCUGGGAUAAGCGCUGGAAACGGCGUCUAAUACUGGAUAUGUGACGUGAUCGCAUGGUCUGCGUCUGGAAAGAAUUUCGGUUGGGGAUGGGCUCGCGGCCUAUCAGCUUGUUGGUGAGGUAAUGGCUCACCAAGGCGUCGACGGGUAGCCGGCCUGAGAGGGUGACCGGCCACACUGGGACUGAGACACGGCCCAGACUCCUACGGGAGGCAGCAGUGGGGAAUAUUGCACAAUGGGCGCAAGCCUGAUGCAGCAACGCCGCGUGAGGGACGACGGCCUUCGGGUUGUAAACCUCUUUUAGCAGGGAAGAAGCGAAAGUGACGGUACCUGCAGAAAAAGCGCCGGCUAACUACGUGC
This 469-nucleotide ribosomal RNA is filed under the name uncultured bacterium. RNAcentral's name for it is "bacterial SSU rRNA". It matches the Rfam family "Bacterial small subunit ribosomal RNA", at positions 28 to 508 of the family's 1533-position model. The record is from RNAcentral.